RNAcentral lists this long non-coding RNA (271 nucleotides) under Gallus gallus (chicken). The record is from RNAcentral. Lineage: Eukaryota; Metazoa; Chordata; Aves; Galliformes; Phasianidae.
GAGCAAUGAAAGCUAACACUAUCACUCACUACCUCACAAUGGACAACCACUGAACAGCAGAGAUUAUUAGAGGUUCAGGAGUGCCCACAACUCCAAACAGCCUAAGAUCCAUUAACCAUUGUAUUCUAAAAUGGUCCAAAACCUUAUUUGAAAGGAAGAAUGUAAUGAAGGAAGUAAAUGAAUAGAUUGCAGAGAGUAACGGAUAUGUUAAAAGAAAACAGAGGCAGGAGGAGUCUACUAUCAGUCACUCUGCAAGUUAGCAAGUUCUGGU